GUCCACGCUGUAAACGAUGGGUACUAGGUGUUCGGGGUAUUGACCCCCUGAGUGCCGCAGUUAACACAUUAAGUACCCCGCCUGGGGACUACGGCCGCAAGGUUAAAACUCAAAGGAAUUGACGGGGGCCCGCACAAGCGGUGGAGCAUGUGGUUCAAUUCGACGCAACGCGAAGAACCUUACCUGGGCUAGACAACGUCGGACCGCCCCAGAAAUGGGGCUUUCCCGCAAGGGACUGGCGGUUCAGGUGCUGCAUGGCUGUCGU
RNAcentral lists this ribosomal RNA (265 nucleotides) under uncultured bacterium. RNAcentral describes it as "partial 16S ribosomal RNA". It matches the Rfam family "Bacterial small subunit ribosomal RNA", at positions 793 to 1055 of the family's 1533-position model. The record is from RNAcentral.